RNAcentral lists this ribosomal RNA (1459 nucleotides) under Salmonella enterica subsp. enterica serovar Tennessee. RNAcentral's name for it is "bacterial LSU rRNA". It matches the Rfam family "Bacterial large subunit ribosomal RNA", at positions 1220 to 2661 of the family's 2925-position model. Lineage: Bacteria; Pseudomonadati; Pseudomonadota; Gammaproteobacteria; Enterobacterales; Enterobacteriaceae. The record is from RNAcentral.
GUUGUUGGGUAGGGGAGCGUUCUGUAAGCCUGUGAAGGUGUGUCGUGAGGCAUGCUGGAGGUAUCAGAAGUGCGAAUGCUGACAUAAGUAACGAUAAAGCGGGUGAAAAGCCCGCUCGCCGGAAGACCAAGGGUUCCUGUCCAACGUUAAUCGGGGCAGGGUGAGUCGACCCCUAAGGCGAGGCCGAAAGGCGUAGUCGAUGGGAAACGGGUUAAUAUUCCCGUACUUGGUGUUACUGCGAAGGGGGGACGGAGAAGGCUAUGUUGGCCGGGCGACGGUUGUCCCGGUUUAAGCGUGUAGGUGUGUGUUCCAGGUAAAUCCGGUUCACUUUAACACUGAGGCGUGACGACGAGGCACUACGGUGCUGAAGCAACAAAUGCCCUGCUUCCAGGAAAAGCCUCUAAGCAUCAGGUAACAUCAAAUCGUACCCCAAACCGACACAGGUGGUCAGGUAGAGAAUACCAAGGCGCUUGAGAGAACUCGGGUGAAGGAACUAGGCAAAAUGGUGCCGUAACUUCGGGAGAAGGCACGCUGACAUGUAGGUGAAGUGAUUUACUCAUGGAGCUGAAGUCAGUCGAAGAUACCAGCUGGCUGCAACUGUUUAUUAAAAACACAGCACUGUGCAAACACGAAAGUGGACGUAUACGGUGUGACGCCUGCCCGGUGCCGGAAGGUUAAUUGAUGGGGUCAGCGCAAGCGAAGCUCCUGAUCGAAGCCCCGGUAAACGGCGGCCGUAACUAUAACGGUCCUAAGGUAGCGAAAUUCCUUGUCGGGUAAGUUCCGACCUGCACGAAUGGCGUAAUGAUGGCCAGGCUGUCUCCACCCGAGACUCAGUGAAAUUGAACUCGCUGUGAAGAUGCAGUGUACCCGCGGCAAGACGGAAAGACCCCGUGAACCUUUACUAUAGCUUGACACUGAACAUUGAGCCUUGAUGUGUAGGAUAGGUGGGAGGCUUUGAAGUGUGGACGCCAGUCUGCAUGGAGCCGACCUUGAAAUACCACCCUUUAAUGUUUGAUGUUCUAACGUGGACCCGUUAUCCGGGUUGCGGACAGUGUCUGGUGGGUAGUUUGACUGGGGCGGUCUCCUCCUAAAGAGUAACGGAGGAGCACGAAGGUUGGCUAAUCCUGGUCGGACAUCAGGAGGUUAGUGCAAUGGCAUAAGCCAGCUUGACUGCGAGCGUGACGGCGCGAGCAGGUGCGAAAGCAGGUCAUAGUGAUCCGGUGGUUCUGAAUGGAAGGGCCAUCGCUCAACGGAUAAAAGGUACUCCGGGGAUAACAGGCUGAUACCGCCCAAGAGUUCAUAUCGACGGCGGUGUUUGGCACCUCGAUGUCGGCUCAUCACAUCCUGGGGCUGAAGUAGGUCCCAAGGGUAUGGCUGUUCGCCAUUUAAAGUGGUACGCGAGCUGGGUUUAGAACGUCGUGAGACAGUUCGGUCCCUAUCUGCCGUGGGCGCUGGAGAA